ACCUGGCACUCGCCACUCGAUUUUGAGUACCUAGUAUGUAAUGGAAUGAAAUUUCUUUUCUUUGAUUUUAUUCAUUGCAGAUUCUUGAAACAUAUUAAAUCUAUUUUGUUCUUUUUCCUUCUUUAUAUUAUAUGGUCAUUUGCGGUCAAUAAACUAAAGCAGAGUAAUAACUCAAGACGUGCGUUAUUGUUGUUUAUACACACG
This 204-nucleotide long non-coding RNA is filed under the name Glycine max (soybean). RNAcentral's name for it is "long non-coding RNA (GMAX_LNC000618)". The record is from RNAcentral. Lineage: Eukaryota; Viridiplantae; Streptophyta; Magnoliopsida; Fabales; Fabaceae.